This 205-nucleotide non-coding RNA is filed under the name Chaetoceros affinis. The record is from RNAcentral. Lineage: Eukaryota; Bacillariophyta; Thalassiosirophyceae; Chaetocerotales; Chaetocerotaceae.
AAGAACGAGACGAAGAAUUCUGCUGGGGAGAAUUCAGGGAAUGCUAAUGGUAGUAGUAAUAAGAAGCCCACCAUUGUGAGGUCCCCCAGGAGAAAGAUGAACCGUCAGCACCGUAGCAAGGAAGACAAGAGAUUAAAAGAAUCUUCCGGCUCUGCUGCUCUGGUGAAUGAAGGAAGUGAUCAACGGAACGGGGCUAACUCUCCGC